AGUCGUAUGGUCUAAUGGUUAUGAUUUCUCGUUCACACCGAGAAGGUUCCGUGUUCGAUCCACGGUACGACUA
This 73-nucleotide transfer RNA is filed under the name Rosellinia necatrix. Its description in RNAcentral is "tRNA-Val". It matches the Rfam family "tRNA". Rfam says of the family: Transfer RNA (tRNA) molecules are approximately 80 nucleotides in length. Their secondary structure includes four short double-helical elements and three loops (D, anti-codon, and T loops). Lineage: Eukaryota; Fungi; Ascomycota; Sordariomycetes; Xylariales; Xylariaceae. RNAcentral also lists the same sequence under 1 other name. The record is from RNAcentral.